Pelobates cultripes (western spadefoot toad) is the source of this 226-nucleotide non-coding RNA. The record is from the annotation of a GenBank genome assembly. Lineage: Eukaryota; Metazoa; Chordata; Amphibia; Anura; Pelobatidae.
UUUCUGAUAACCUCGUGCCGAUCGCACGUCCCUGUGACGGCGACAACGCAUUUGGAUGUCUGCCCUAUCAACUUUCGAUGCUAUUUUCCGCACCUGCCAUGGUGACCACAGGUAAUGGGGAAUCAGGGUUCAAUUCCAGAGAGGGAGCCUGAGAAACGGCUACCACAUGCAAGGAAGGCAGCAGACGCACAAAUUACCCGCUCCCAACGCGGGGAGGUAGUGACAA